GGGCCUCUAGCUCAACGGUAGAGCGCCGGACUCAUAAUCCGUCGGUUGCAGGUUCGAAUCCUGCGGGGCCCA
RNAcentral lists this transfer RNA (72 nucleotides) under Fidelibacterota bacterium. Its description in RNAcentral is "tRNA-Ile". It matches the Rfam family "tRNA". Rfam says of the family: Transfer RNA (tRNA) molecules are approximately 80 nucleotides in length. Their secondary structure includes four short double-helical elements and three loops (D, anti-codon, and T loops). RNAcentral also lists the same sequence under 1 other name. The record is from RNAcentral. Lineage: Bacteria; Pseudomonadati; Fidelibacterota.